GACGAACGCUGGCGGCGUGCUUAACACAUGCAAGUCGAACGGUAAGGCCCUUUCGGGGGUACACGAGUGGCGAACGGGUGAGUAACACGUGGGUGAUCUGCCCUGCACUUUGGGAUAAGUCUGGGAAACUGGGUCUAAUACCGGAUAGGACUACGCGAUGCAUGUCGUGUGGUGGAAAGCUUUUGCGGUGUGGGAUGGGCCCGCGGCCUAUCAGCUUGUUGGUGGGGUGAUGGCCUACCAAGGCGACGACGGGUAGCCGGCCUGAGAGGGUGUCCGGCCACACUGGGACUGAGAUACGGCCCAGACUCCUACGGGAGGCAGCAGUGGGGAAUAUUGCACAAUGGGCGCAAGCCUGAUGCAGCGACGCCGCGUGGGGGAUGACGGCCUUCGGGUUGUAAACCCCUUUCAGCACAGACGAAGCGUAAGUGACGGUAUGUGCAGAAGAAGCACCGGCCAACUACGUG
Molecule: ribosomal RNA, 464 nt
Filed under: uncultured bacterium
Lineage: Bacteria
Description: partial 16S ribosomal RNA
Rfam family: Bacterial small subunit ribosomal RNA
Source: RNAcentral